This 1347-nucleotide ribosomal RNA is filed under the name Rothia sp. HMSC072E10. RNAcentral describes it as "bacterial LSU rRNA". It matches the Rfam family "Bacterial large subunit ribosomal RNA", at positions 1 to 1302 of the family's 2925-position model. The record is from RNAcentral. Lineage: Bacteria; Bacillati; Actinomycetota; Actinomycetes; Micrococcales; Micrococcaceae.
GUGUAAGUUAUUAAGAGCACACGGUGGAUGCCUUGGCAUUAAGAGCCGAUGAAGGACGUGUGAAUCUGCGAUAAGCCUCGGGGAGCCGAUAACUGGGCGUUGAUCCGAGGAUUUCCGAAUGGGGAAACCUGGCUCAUCUUCAUGGUGAGUUACCGCCAGCUGAAUGUAUAGGCUGGUUGGGGGGAACGCGGGGAAGUGAAACAUCUCAGUACCCGCAGGAAGAGAAAAUAAAGUAAUGAUUCUGUGAGUAGUGGCGAGCGAAAGCGGAAGAGACUAAACCUGUGGUGUGUGAUAGCGGUUAGGCGUUGCAUCAUGGGGGUUGUGGGAGUCACAGUGGUAGUUCUAACUGGCUGCCGGCAUGAUGUUCAGGAUGGUAGGUGAACGACUUGGAAUGGUCGGCCGUAGAGGGUGAGAGUCCCGUAAUCGAAAUUGUUCUGUCCGUGGUGUGGCCACCCGAGUAGCACGGGGCUCGUGGAAUCUCGUGUGAAUCUGCCAGGACCACCUGGUAAGUCUAAAUACUUCUUAGUGACCGAUAGUGAAUCAGUACCGUGAGGGAAUGGUGAAAAGUACCCCGGGAGGGGAGUGAAAUAGUACCUGAAACCGUGUGCUUACAAGCCGUUGGAGCCUUUUGGGGUGACAGCGUGCCUUUUGAAGAAUGAGCCUGCGAGUUAGUGUUAUGUCGCGAGGUUAACCCGUGUGGGGUAUCCGUAGCGAAAGCGAGUCUGAAUAGGGCGUUUGAGUGGCAUGACCUAGACCCGAAGCGGAGUGAUCUAUCCAUGGCCAGGUUGAAGCGACGGUAAGACGUCGUGGAGGACCGAACCCACUUCAGUUGAAAAUGGAGGGGAUGAGCUGUGGAUAGGGGUGAAAGGCCAAUCAAACUCUGUGAUAGCUGGUUCUCCCCGAAAUGCAUUUAGGUGCAGCGUUACGUGUUUCUUGCCGGAGGUAGAGCUACUGGAUGGCCGAUGGGCCUUCACGGGUUACUGACGUCAGCUAAACUCCGAAUGCCGGUAAGUGAGAGCGUAGCAGUGAGACAGUGGGGGAUAAGCUUCAUUGUCGAGAGGGAAACAGCCCAGACCACCAACUAAGGCCCCUAAGCGUGUGCUAAGUGGGAAAGGAUGUGGAGUUGCUUAGACAACCAGGAGGUUGGCUUAGAAGCAGCCACCCUUGAAAGAGUGCGUAACAGCUCACUGGUCAAGUGAUUCUGCGCCGAUAAUGUAGCGGGGCUCAAGUACACCGCCGAAGUUGUGGCAAUGAUCUUUUUGGAUUGUUGGGUAGGGGAGCGUCGUGUGGCCGUUGAAGCUGCGGUGUAAACCAGUGGUGGAGGCUAUGCGAGUGAGAAUGCAGGCA